UACGUAGGGUGCAAGCGUUGUCCGGAAUUAUUGGGCGUAAAGAGCUCGUAGGCGGUCUGUCGCGUCGGCUGUGAAAACCCGGGGCUCAACCCCCGGGCCUGCAGUCGAUACGGGCAGACUAGAGUGCGGUAGGGGAGACUGGAAUUCCUGGUGUAGCGGUGAAAUGCGCAGAGUAUCAGGAGGAACACCGGUGGCGAAGGCGGGUCUCUGGGCCGAUACUGACGCUGAGGAGCGAAAGCGUGGGGAGCGAACAGG
RNAcentral lists this ribosomal RNA (255 nucleotides) under uncultured bacterium. Its description in RNAcentral is "partial 16S ribosomal RNA". It matches the Rfam family "Bacterial small subunit ribosomal RNA", at positions 524 to 776 of the family's 1533-position model. The record is from RNAcentral.